Molecule: ribosomal RNA, 366 nt
Filed under: uncultured bacterium
Lineage: Bacteria
Description: bacterial SSU rRNA
Rfam family: Bacterial small subunit ribosomal RNA
Source: RNAcentral
GUGGGGGAUAUUGCACAAUGGGGGAAACCCUGAUGCAGCAACGCCGCGUGAAGGAAGAAGGUCUUCGGAUUGUAAACUUCUGUCUUUAGUGAAGAUAAUGACGGUAGCUAAAGAGGAAGCUCCGGCUAACUACGUGCCAGCAGCCGCGGUAAUACGUAGGGAGCAAGCGUUGUCCGGAUUUACUGGGUGUAAAGGGUGCGUAGGCGGUUCUGCAAGUCAGUUGUGAAAACUAUGGGCUUAACCCAUAGCCUGCAAUUGAAACUGUGGGACUUGAGUGAAGUAGAGGUAGGUGGAAUUCCCGGUGUAGCGGUGAAAUGCGUAGAGAUCGGGAGGAACACCAGUGGCGAAGGCGGCCUACUGGGCUUU